GCGGCGGACGGGUGAGUAACACGUGGGCAACCUGCCCUGCAGACUGGGAUAACUUCGGGAAACCGGAGCUAAUACCGGAUAACACCGAAAACCGCAUGGUUUUCGGUUGAAAGGCGGCUUUUACCUGUCACUGCAGGAUGGGCCCGCGGCGCAUUAGCUAGUUGGUGAGGUAACGGCUCACCAAGGCGACGAUGCGUACCCGACCUGAGAGGGUGACCGGCCACACUGGGACUGAGACACGGCCCAGACUCCUACGGGAGGCAGCAGUAGGGAAUCUUCCGCAAUGGACGAAAGUCUGACGGAGCAACGCCGCGUGAGCGAAGAAGGUCUUCGGAUCGUAAAGCUCUGUUGUCAGGGAAGAACAAGUACCGUUCGAACAGGGCGGUACCUUGACGGUACCUGACGAGGAAGCCACGGCUAACUACGUGCCAGCAGCCGCGGUAAUAC
RNAcentral lists this ribosomal RNA (447 nucleotides) under Aeribacillus sp. J18D022. RNAcentral's name for it is "bacterial SSU rRNA". It matches the Rfam family "Bacterial small subunit ribosomal RNA", at positions 95 to 526 of the family's 1533-position model. The record is from RNAcentral. Lineage: Bacteria; Bacillati; Bacillota; Bacilli; Caryophanales; Bacillaceae.